CAGUCGCCGCGGGAAUACGUAGGUGGCAAGUGUUGUCCGGAAUUAUUGGGCGUAAAGGGCUCGCAGGCGGUUUCUUAAGUCUGAUGUGAAAGCCCCCGGCUCAACCGGGGAGGGUCAUUGGAAACUGGGAAACUUGAGUGCAGAAGAGGAGAGUGGAAUUCCACGUGUAGCGGUGAAAUGCGUAGAGAUGUGGAGGAACACCAGUGGCGAAGGCGACUCUCUGGUCUGUAACUGACGCUGAGGAGCGAAAGCGUGGGGAGCGAACAGGAUUAGAUACCCCAGUAGUCCCUGUCUCUUAUAC
RNAcentral lists this ribosomal RNA (301 nucleotides) under uncultured bacterium. Its description in RNAcentral is "partial 16S ribosomal RNA". It matches the Rfam family "Bacterial small subunit ribosomal RNA", at positions 509 to 807 of the family's 1533-position model. The record is from RNAcentral.